Molecule: ribosomal RNA, 445 nt
Filed under: uncultured bacterium
Lineage: Bacteria
Description: partial 16S ribosomal RNA
Rfam family: Bacterial small subunit ribosomal RNA
Source: RNAcentral
GUAAGGAAUAUUGGACAAUGGACGCAAGUCUGAUCCAGCCAUGCCGCGUGAAGGAUUAAGGUCCUCUGGAUUGUAAACUUCUUUUAUAAGGGACGAAAAAAGGCUUUUCUAAGUCGUCUGACGGUACCUUAUGAAUAAGCACCGGCUAACUCCGUGCCAGCAGCCGCGGUAAUACGGAGGGUGCAAGCGUUAUCCGGAUUCACUGGGUUUAAAGGGUGCGUAGGCGGGCAGGUAAGUCAGUGGUGAAAUCCUAGAGCUUAACUCUAGAACUGCCAUUGAUACUAUCUGUAUUGAAUAUUGUGGAGGUAAGCGGAAUAUGUCAUGUAGCGGUGAAAUGCUUAGAUAUGACAUAGAACACCUAUUGCGAAGGCAGCUUACUACGCAUAUAUUGACGCUGAGGCACGAAAGCGUGGGGAUCAAACAGGAUUAGAUACCCGUGUAGUCC